GACGGAGGAUGCAAGUGUUAUCCGGAAUCACUGGGCGUAAAGCGUCUGUAGGUGGUCAAAUAAGUCAACUGUUAAAUCUUGAGGCUCAACCUCAAAAUCGCAGUCGAAACUAUUCGACUAGAGUAUAGUAGGGGUAUAGGGAAUUUCCAGUGGAGCGGUGAAAUGCGUAGAGAUUGGAAAGAACACCGAUGGCGAAGGCACUUUACUGGGCUAUUACUAACACUGAGAGACGAAAGCUAGGGUAGCAAACAGG
Molecule: ribosomal RNA, 253 nt
Filed under: uncultured bacterium
Lineage: Bacteria
Description: partial 16S ribosomal RNA
Rfam family: Bacterial small subunit ribosomal RNA
Source: RNAcentral